GUGAACGUAACAUUAUCCCUGAGGCCGACGUCACCGUGGUAGCCGUUAUUGUAGCUGCCGAGGAUGACCUCUUCGGCGGGCCACCGACGAUACCACGGAGGACGUCGUGGCCAAGGAUUUUUUCACGUACACUCGGAUCGAUAAAAACAUGAGAGUUUAAAUAGUUUUGUAUAUCUUCCGUAGUAUCUUCUUCUUGAUCUUUUGCUACCUCCUUCAGUCAUAUUUGUUUAUUUUCUUUUUAAAUUUUAAUCUGUGAUGAUUAACAAAGUUUUAGAUUUCUGGAUUUUUCUAAAAACGAAGAAAAGUAAUCAUUUUUCUAAACCAUUACUCCAUAUAUCCUUAUUCUCCAUAUAUCUAUUCCUUUUUAUUUUCUUUUUUAGGUUAUGAUGUAUCUCCAAUUGCCUGGACUCGUGCCAAAACAGUCUGCAAUAUUACCACGGCACAUUGACGUAGCUAUCCUCUUCUUUCUUUAUAUUUGUGUUUUUAUUUCUUAUAAUUUUACUUAGAUACUAUCUGGCUUCGAUCAAUCGAACCUUUAUGUUAAACAAUUCUUCAUUAUUCUCAUCAUAAUCAUUGUCGUCAUCAUUUUGCAGAUUCGAAAGUACAAAAUAGAGACGGCUGAGAGAAAAAUUUGAUCAAGUUUUUGAUGUUAACGAAUUGAAAAAAAUAAGAACGAGAGAGAGAAUAGAAGAAGGUUAAUGAAAAUGUUCGAUGAUAAUUGACAAGUGAACAAAAUGAUUUACCAAACAACUAAUUUAUAUAUACAUAUAUAUAUAUAUAUAUAUAUAUAUAUAUAUAUAUAAGAAGUAGAAUAUUUUAUUCACUCGUCAAAGUCACAGAAAGUAAAUAAACAAACAAACACGUAAAAAAGAAGAUCGGUAGCGAGCACCGACAAAUAUAAUGUUCUCGCCGUCUCUGAGACGAGAGACUGACGUCCUCGUGGAGGCUUCGUAUGCGACUGCCGAGAAAAUGAGAGAGAGAGAGAGAGAGAGAGAGAGAGAGAGAAAGAGAUUCGACGCGUACCAGUUCUGGUCCUACACCGCAUCGUGACGCCGCGACUCUGCAGCGAAUGCUGGAGUAUUCCCGGAAGAUCCAGAAAAAUAUCAUUUUAUUAGUUAAUGCAUGUGUAUGCGUGAGCGCAUAUAUAAAUAUAAAAUAAUUUUCAUAUGAAUUUUUAUUAAACGAUUUGUUAUGAUGUAUUAUGUAUAUAAUAUGAUAUUGAAGGAUAUAUAAGAAAUAAAGAAAAGGGCGGAUGAAAGGGAAGAGGGGAUAGAGAUGAGGCAAGAGAGCGGCAAUGCGACGGUGGUUGCGCCGCCAAUGGAUCAGCUGUGAACCGGCAACUAAGUCAGCUGACUGUUCGACCCCUCCCCAACUUCCUACCUGUUUCACAGCCUCAUACACACUGAGAGAUAGUCUCUCUGCGACAAUCAAUAUUCCGCUCUUAUUUUGCGGCGCUCCUUUAAACACUCAUUUUUUUAUACUUAUUACAAUAAUACGUGUUUGUGGAUAUAUAUACAUGCACGCGCACAUAUAUGAAUGAUCAUUAGGAAUGAUAGAAUGUUUGAUUGUAUGGCAAUGCAAAUAAUCUUAAAUUUCAUCUAUAAUUUAAUUAAUAAUCAUAUAAGAUUGUUAACUAGAAAAGCUUAACAAUUUUGAAAGAAUAAUGAGAAGAUUUAAAUACGGCGCCUUUUUUUAAAGAGGGCGUGGUAUGUCACGUGGUUAUCCACACUACUUUCUCAUCGAUUAUUCGCUCGAUAUCCAACAAUUUCUUUUUUCUUUCUUCACAAAAUACCGAACACAAAAUUCUUUUAAUUCUAUUAUUGAGAAUAAUUUGUUUAGUUGGCGUGGAAGAGAUACAUAACUUAAACUAUUAUUAGUCCUUCUAUUAAACAAUAUGUUUUCCUAGUAAAAGGAUGAAA
This is a long non-coding RNA of Vespa mandarinia (Asian giant hornet), 1919 nucleotides long. The record is from RefSeq and is a predicted model, not a curated record. NCBI's taxonomy places the organism in Eukaryota, Metazoa, Arthropoda, Insecta, Hymenoptera, Vespidae.